RNAcentral lists this ribosomal RNA (253 nucleotides) under uncultured bacterium. Its description in RNAcentral is "partial 16S ribosomal RNA". It matches the Rfam family "Bacterial small subunit ribosomal RNA", at positions 524 to 776 of the family's 1533-position model. The record is from RNAcentral.
UACGUAGGGUGCAAGCGUUAAUCGGAAUUACUGGGCGUAAAGCGUGCGCAGGCGGCUUUGCAAGACAGAUGUGAAAUCCCCGGGCUUAACCUGGGAACUGCAUUUGUGACUGCAUGGCUAGAGUGCGGCAGAGGGGGAUGGAAUUCCGCGUGUAGCAGUGAAAUGCGUAGAUAUGUGGAGGAACACCGAUGGCGAAGGCAGCCCCCUGGGUUAACACUGACGCUCAUGCACGAAAGCGUGGGGAGCAAACAGG